This 71-nucleotide transfer RNA is filed under the name Marmota monax (woodchuck). Its description in RNAcentral is "tRNA.Ala". Lineage: Eukaryota; Metazoa; Chordata; Mammalia; Rodentia; Sciuridae. The record is from RNAcentral.
GGAGUUGUGGCUUAGCAGUAGAGAGCGCUCACCUAGCACAUGUGAGGCCCUGGGUUCGAUCCUCAGCACCA